UAAUAAUAAUAAUGAUAAUAAUAAUAAUAAAUCAGGAAUGGUUCAUCUGAUCCUAUCCUUGUGAAACCUGGAGGUGUUCAGCACUGUAGGGAACUGUUCAGAAACUAUCCCUGCUGCAAUCUUAGAAGUUUGGCAAACAAGGAGGAAUUUGCGAAGGAAAGGAAAUCUGACUGCGAUGAACCAAUCAAGAAUUACUUCAGAAAAGACAGACUAUAUGACUGUGAUGAUCUAGUGAAGAAAGACAAGGAGGCAUUAUUUUUCUUCAUUAGGAAAACUAACAAACCAGAUAACGGCGGGUUUGAUUGUAUCUCUGUGUGUACAAACGGCGGGUAUAGGUUCCAACAACUGCCGCUUGGCGUUCUAAUGGCGAUGUUUCUUUUUAUUUGUAAAUUUUAGAAAAUUUGAUAAACGUUUCUUAAUCUUA
Eurytemora carolleeae is the source of this 424-nucleotide long non-coding RNA. RefSeq lists it as uncharacterized. The transcript is spliced from 4 exons. NCBI's taxonomy places the organism in Eukaryota, Metazoa, Arthropoda, Copepoda, Calanoida, Temoridae. The record is from RefSeq and is a predicted model, not a curated record.